UACGGGGGGGGCAAGCGUUGUUCGGAAUUACUGGGCGUAAAGCGUGCGCAGGCGGUCUUGCAAGACAGAUGUGAAAUCCCCGGGCUUAACUCGGAAAGGUCAACUGAUACUGCGGGGCUAGAGUGCGGAAGGGGCAACUGGAAUUCUCGGUGUAGCGGUGAAAUGCGUAGAUAUCGAGAGGAACACCUGCGGCGAAGGCGGGUUGCUGGGCCGACACUGACGCUGAGGCGCGAAAGCUAGGGGAGCGAACGGG
Molecule: ribosomal RNA, 253 nt
Filed under: uncultured bacterium
Lineage: Bacteria
Description: partial 16S ribosomal RNA
Rfam family: Bacterial small subunit ribosomal RNA
Source: RNAcentral